RNAcentral lists this ribosomal RNA (500 nucleotides) under uncultured bacterium. RNAcentral describes it as "partial 16S ribosomal RNA". It matches the Rfam family "Bacterial small subunit ribosomal RNA", at positions 30 to 523 of the family's 1533-position model. The record is from RNAcentral.
AUUGAACGCUGGCGGAAUGCUUUACACAUGCAAGUCGAACGGCAGCACGGACUUCGGUCUGGUGGCGAGUGGCGAACGGGUGAGUAAUGUAUCGGAACGUGCCCAGUCGUGGGGGAUAACGUAGUGAAAAUUACGCUAAUACCGCAUACGAUCUAUGGAUGAAAGCGGGGGAUCGCAAGACCUCGCGCGAUUGGAGCGGCCGAUAUCAGAUUAGGUAGUUGGUGGGGUAAAGGCCCACCAAGCCAACGAUCUGUAGCUGGUCUGAGAGGACGACCAGCCACACUGGAACUGAGACACGGUCCAGACUCCUACGGGAGGCAGCAGUGGGGAAUUUUGGACAAGGGGCGAAAGCCUGAUCCAGCCAUUCCGCGUGCAGGAUGAAGGCCCUCGGGUUGUAAACUGCUUUUGUACAGAACGAAAAGGUUUCUACUAAUACAAGGAGCUCAUGACGGUACUGUGAGAAUAAGCACCGGCUAACUACGUGCCAGCCGCCGCAGUAA